GGCAGGGGUUUUCAUGUCUGACCGGAAUGUCUGUUUCGCCGAACUGAUAUAUGGAAUACUUUUUUCAAGACCAGACUGCAACCUGCCUGCUGGGUGUGGCCUUUAUGUCUUCAUUUGUCGGCCGGCAUUUAUAAAUUCGUUGUCAUUUCAGACUCAUUCUUAGCCUUUGAUUGAUUUGGAACCCUUUAUUUCCCUUAAUGUUGUUGGGUGAAACAUAUCAACCAAACAUUUGGAUAAAAAUUGCUUGUUUGUCUUUCUUAACUCGUGUCGGUCGUAUUUCAAAUUCAAUCGAAUAGCCCAGCGUAUAUCUUGUUAACAACAAGAACUCUGUGAGGUUAUUCUAACUUAACUUACAACAAACGUGCGAGAAUUUUCCAUGCCUAUGUUUUACUGACAAAUCACACAUUAAAUGUAUCAGUACAUAGCUCUUGGAUCCAAAGGGAGAUACAGCAUCUAAAAUGUCCAACCCUUACACCUUACCAGCAACUACAAAAUAUGCAUGCCCCACGCCAGGAACCGUUUAAAAAGUGCAUAUUUCACUUAUUUAAUGUUUUUAGUCCUAAAAAGGGGCCAAAAAAAAAAAAUUCGCAUCGCUCCGCUCGGCGAUCUUUACAAACUACGACCCCUCUUUCAAAAAACCUGAAUCC
This 647-nucleotide long non-coding RNA is filed under the name Mytilus galloprovincialis (Mediterranean mussel). Lineage: Eukaryota; Metazoa; Mollusca; Bivalvia; Mytilida; Mytilidae. The record is from RNAcentral.